Molecule: non-coding RNA, 65 nt
Organism: Podarcis lilfordi (Lilford's wall lizard)
Lineage: Eukaryota; Metazoa; Chordata; Lepidosauria; Squamata; Lacertidae
Source: the annotation of a GenBank genome assembly
CCCUAGCUCAGUGGUAGAGCACCUGCUUGGCAUGCAGAAUGUCCCAGGUUCUAUCCGCAGCAAGA